This 618-nucleotide ribosomal RNA is filed under the name Leotiomycetes sp. genotype 269. RNAcentral's name for it is "eukaryotic LSU rRNA". It matches the Rfam family "Eukaryotic large subunit ribosomal RNA", at positions 1 to 601 of the family's 3401-position model. Lineage: Eukaryota; Fungi; Ascomycota; Leotiomycetes. The record is from RNAcentral.
ACAACCCCCACACACAAGGUUGACCUCGGAUCAGGUAGGGAUACCCGCUGAACUUAAGCAUAUCAAUAAGCGGAGGAAAAGAAACCAACAGGGAUUGCCUCAGUAACGGCGAGUGAAGCGGCAACAGCUCAAAUUUGAAAGCUGGCUCCUUCGGGGCCCGCGUUGUAAUUUGUAGAGGAUGCUUCGGGCGCGGCACCGGUCUAAGUUCUCUGGAACGAGACGUCAUAGAGGGUGAGAAUCCCGUAUGUGACUGGCCGCCUGUGCCCAUGUGAAGCUCCUUCGACGAGUCGAGUUGUUUGGGAAUGCAGCUCAAAAUGGGAGGUGUACUCCUUCUAAAGCUAAAUAUUGGCCAGAGACCGAUAGCGCACAAGUAGAGUGAUCGAAAGAUGAAAAGCACUUUGGAAAGAGAGUUAAACAGUACGUGAAAUUGUUGAAAGGGAAGCGCUUGCAAUCAGACUUGCGCGGCGUCGAUCAGCCUGGGUUCUCCCUGGUGCACUCGGCGCCGCUCAGGCCAGCAUCAGUUUCGGCGGUGGGAUAAAGGCCUAGGGAACGUGGGUCCCCUCGGGGACCGUUAUAGCCCUAGGUGCAAUGCCGCCUGCCGGGACUGAGGACCGCGCU